UACGGGGGGAGCAAGCGUUGUUCGGAUUUACUGGGCGUAAAGGGCGCGUAGGCGGCUUCGUAAGUGGUGUGUGAAAUGUCCUGGCUCAACCAGGGAAUUGCGCUCCAAACUGCGAGGCUUGAGGGCAGUAGAGGAAGCUGGAAUUCCAGGUGUAGCGGUGAAAUGCGCAGAUAUCAGGAGGAACACCAAUUGCGAAGGCAGCUCGCUGGGACGUUACUGACGCUGAGACGCGAAAGCGUGGGGAGCAAACAGG
This 253-nucleotide ribosomal RNA is filed under the name uncultured bacterium. RNAcentral describes it as "partial 16S ribosomal RNA". It matches the Rfam family "Bacterial small subunit ribosomal RNA", at positions 524 to 776 of the family's 1533-position model. The record is from RNAcentral.